GCUAAAUGUAUUGUGGGGUCAGACCACACCCCCUUGAUUCUGGAUGAUGGUUCCAUUCGCAAUAGACCUCCGACUAGAUUUCAGUUUGAUGCUUCUUGGCUGUCUGUUGAUGGCUUUGUUGACAUGGUUGCGGCGAAAAUCUCCCAAUCCCUCUCUCACAACCCCCGCUCUUUUGGCCCUCUGGAUGAUUGGCAGUCAUGUGCCUAUGCUUUACGAAAAUUUCUUAGAGGCUGGUCGCAUAACCGUGCGGCGGAGGAUCGCCGCUCCAAAGCCUUCCUUGAAAAUCAGAUCCUGGAGCUGGAUCGUACUGCGGACUCUAUUGGGCUCUCGGAUGAUGGUUGGGCUGUUCGCUAUAAUCUGGAGGCCGCUCUUCUGCAGCUGCAUCAUCAGGCUGAGAUUUACUGGCGUCAGAGGGGCACCCUUAAUUGGACUCUCAAAGGAGACGCUCCUACUGCUUAUUUCUUU
RNAcentral lists this ribosomal RNA (465 nucleotides) under Triticum aestivum (bread wheat). Its description in RNAcentral is "partial small subunit ribosomal RNA". The record is from RNAcentral. Lineage: Eukaryota; Viridiplantae; Streptophyta; Magnoliopsida; Poales; Poaceae.